This 453-nucleotide ribosomal RNA is filed under the name uncultured microorganism. Its description in RNAcentral is "bacterial SSU rRNA". It matches the Rfam family "Bacterial small subunit ribosomal RNA", at positions 9 to 445 of the family's 1533-position model. The record is from RNAcentral.
GAGUUUGAUCCUGGCUCAGAACGAACGCUGGCGGCAGGCUUAACACAUGCAAGUCGUACGAGAACGUCUCGCUUCGGCGAGGCUAGUAAAGUGGCGCACGGGUGAGUAACGCGUGGGUAAUCUACCCUUGGGUACGGAUAACGUCUCGAAAGGGCGCUAAUACCGUAUAAGACCACAGCAACCCCGGUUGCAGAGGUAAAAGCGGGCCUCUACAUGUAAGCUCGCGCCUGAGGAUGAGCCCGCGUCCCAUUAGCUUGUUGGUGAGGUGACGGCUCACCAAGGCCGCGAUGGGUAGCUGGUCUGAGAGGAUGAUCAGCCACACUGGGACUGGAACACGGCCCAGACUCCUACGGGAGGCAGCAGUGAGGAAUCUUGCGCAAUGGGGGAAACCCUGACGCAGCCAUGCCGCGUGGGUGAAGAAGGCCUUCGGUCGUAAGACCUCGUCAGGAGGGA